ACCUACGGGAGGCAGCAGUGAGGAAUAUUGGUCAAUGGGCGAGAGCCUGAACCAGCCAAGUCGCGUGAAGGAUGACGGCCCUACGGGUUGUAAACUUCUUUUGUCAGGGAGCAAUUGGGUCCACGCGUGGGCUUAGCGAGAGUACCUGAAGAAAAAGCAUCGGCUAACUCCGUGCCAGCAGCCGCGGUAAUACGGAGGAUGCGAGCGUUAUCCGGAUUUAUUGGGUUUAAAGGGUGCGUAGGCGGAAUAUCAAGUCGGCGGCAAAAAUUCGGGGCUCAACCCCCUCGUGCCGUUGUAACUGAUGU
This 305-nucleotide ribosomal RNA is filed under the name uncultured bacterium. RNAcentral's name for it is "bacterial SSU rRNA". It matches the Rfam family "Bacterial small subunit ribosomal RNA", at positions 337 to 639 of the family's 1533-position model. The record is from RNAcentral.